Molecule: ribosomal RNA, 253 nt
Filed under: uncultured bacterium
Lineage: Bacteria
Description: partial 16S ribosomal RNA
Rfam family: Bacterial small subunit ribosomal RNA
Source: RNAcentral
UACGGAGGAUGCAAGCGUUAUCCGGAAUGAUUGGGCGUAAAGCGUCCGCAGGUGGCUAUGUAAGUCUGCUGUUAAAGAGUGAGGCUCAACCUCAUAAGAGCAGUGGAAACUACAUAGCUAGAGUGCGUUCGGGGCAGAGGGAAUUCCUGGUGUAGCGGUGAAAUGCGUAGAUAUCAGGAGGAACACCGGUGGCGAAGGCGGCGUUCUGGACUGCUACUGACACUGAGGAACGAAAGCCAGGGGAGCAAACGGG